Molecule: long non-coding RNA, 1271 nt
Organism: Orcinus orca (killer whale)
Lineage: Eukaryota; Metazoa; Chordata; Mammalia; Artiodactyla; Delphinidae
Exons: 2
Source: RefSeq, a predicted model, not a curated record
GUUCUCCUUUACCCCUUUUGGUUAUUAACCAUGACCAGCAUCAUCAAGGAGGAUGCCUAAGCUGGGGUUAGAACUCUGAGAGAAGACGGUGUUGAGAGAAUGAGAAGACAAGCCACAAACUGGGAGAAAAUAUUUGCAAAAGACGCAUCUGAUAAAGAACUGUUAGCCAGAAUAUACAGAGAACUCUUAAAACUCAACAAUGAGAAAAUGAAAGACCUGAUUAAAAGAUGGGCCAAAAAGCUUAAGAGACACCUCAACAAGGAAGAUAUACAGAUGGCAAAUAAACAUAUGAAAAGAUGUGCCACAUCAUAUGUCAUCGGGGAAAUGCAAAUUGAAACAACGAGAUACCACUACACACCUACUAGAAUGGCUAAAAUCCGGAGCACCGACAACACCAAACGCUGAGGGGGCUGGGCAGCAGUGGGAGCUCUCGCUCACUGCUGGCGGAAGCGCAAAAAGGUGCAGUCACUCCGGAAGGCAGCUUGGCAUUUUCUUAUGAAACUAAACAUACUCUUACCUUACACUCCAGCAAUUGCGCUCCCUGGUAUUUACCCAGAGGAGUUCAAAAUAUGUCCACACAAAAACUUGCAUGUGGAUGCUUGUAGCAGCUUAUUCAUAACUGCCCAAACUUGGAAGCACUAAGUUUGUCCUUCAGUAAGUGAAUGGAUAAAUGUGGUACAUCCAGGCGAUGGAAUAAUAUUCAGGGUUAAAAAGAAGUGAGCUAUCAAGCCAUGAAAAGACAUGAAGGAAGCUUAAAUGCAUAUUACUGAGUGAAAGAAACCAAUUUGGAAAGGCUGCAGACUGUAUGAUUCCAACUAUAUGACAUUCUGGAAAAGGCAAAACUAUGGAGACAGCAAAAAAAAAAAAAUCAGUGGUUGUCAGGGGUUGGGAGAGGGAGGGAUGAAUAGACAAAGAACAGAGGAUUUUUAGGGCAGUGAAAAUACUCUGUAUGAUAUUAUAAUGAUGGAUGCAUGUCAUUAUACAUUUGUCCAAACAAAUAGAAUGUUAUACAGGAAUGAAUGGAUGAGCCCUAGUGUAAACUAUGGACUUUGGGUGAUUCGGGUUGUGUCACUGUAGAUUCAUCAGUUGUAACCAAUGUCCCACUCUGGUGAGGGGAUGUUGAUAAUGAGGGAGGCUGUGCAUGUGGGGGAAAGGGGUGUAUGGGAACUCGCUGUACCUUCCCCCCCUCAAUUUUGUUGUGAACCUAAAACUGCUCUAAAAAAUUGUCUGUAAAUAAACACUAAGGCCAUAAUGCCUUAGCAUUCAAUAGA